GCCCUUAGAGUUUGAUCAUGGCUCAGGACGAACGCUGGCGGCGUGCUUAACACAUGCAAGUCGAACGGUCUACCUCGAUGGAAACCUUCGGGUUGAAGACGAGAUCUAGAUAGUGGCGGACGGGUGAGUAACACGUGGAUAACCUGUCCUCAAGACUGGGAUAACCUGGCGAAAGUCGGGCUAAUCCCGGGUAAGCUGAGAGUGUGGCAUCACACAAUCAGAAAAGGUGGUUUUACCAUCGUUUGAGGAGGGGUCCGCGGUAGAUUAGCUAGCUGGUGAGGUAAAGGCUCACCAGGGCGACAAUCUAUAGCUGGUCUGAGAGGACGAUCAGUCACACUGGAACUGAGACACGGUCCAGACUCCUACGGGAGGCAGCAGUGGGGAAUCUUCCACAAUGGGCGCAAGCCUGAUGGAGCAACGCCGCGUGAGUGAAGAAGGUCUUAGGAUUGUAAAGCUCUGUCCUUAGGGAAGAACCGUGGGUAUAGCAAAUGAUACCCAUCUGACGGUACCUUUGGAGGAAGCACUGGCUAACUACGUGCCAGCAGCCGCGGUAAUACGUAGAGUGCAAGCGUUGUCC
This 577-nucleotide ribosomal RNA is filed under the name uncultured Halanaerobium sp. RNAcentral's name for it is "bacterial SSU rRNA". It matches the Rfam family "Bacterial small subunit ribosomal RNA", at positions 1 to 546 of the family's 1533-position model. Lineage: Bacteria; Bacillati; Bacillota; Clostridia; Halanaerobiales; Halanaerobiaceae. The record is from RNAcentral.